This 497-nucleotide ribosomal RNA is filed under the name uncultured bacterium. RNAcentral describes it as "partial 16S ribosomal RNA". It matches the Rfam family "Bacterial small subunit ribosomal RNA", at positions 28 to 507 of the family's 1533-position model. The record is from RNAcentral.
GAUGAACGCUGGCGGCGUGCCUAAUACAUGCAAGUCGAGCGAACAGACGAGGAGCUUGCUCCUCUGACGUUAGCGGCGGACGGGUGAGUAACACGUGGAUAACCUACCUAUAAGACUGGGAUAACUUCGGGAAACCGGAGCUAAUACCGGAUAAUAUAUUGAACCGCAUGGUUCAAUAGUGAAAGACGGUUUUGCUGUCACUUAUAGAUGGAUCCGCGCCGCAUUAGCUAGUUGGUAAGGUAACGGCUUACCAAGGCGACGAUGCGUAGCCGACCUGAGAGGGUGAUCGGCCACACUGGAACUGAGACACGGUCCAGACUCCUACGGGAGGCAGCAGUAGGGAAUCCUCCGCAAUGGGCGAAAGCCUGACGGAGCAACGCCGCGUGAGUGAUGAAGGUCUUCGGAUCGUAAAACUCUGUAAUUAGGGAAGAACAAAUGUGUAAGUAACUAUGCACGUCUUGACGGUACCUAAUCAGAAAGCCACGGCUAACUACGUG